GCGAUUGUAGCUCAGUUGGUUAGAGUCCCGCAGUACUGCGGGAUGGUCCCGAGGGUCGCGGGUUCGAUUCCCGUCAGUCGCC
This 82-nucleotide transfer RNA is filed under the name Candidatus Peribacteria bacterium. RNAcentral's name for it is "tRNA-OTHER". It matches the Rfam family "tRNA". From Rfam's summary of the family: Transfer RNA (tRNA) molecules are approximately 80 nucleotides in length. Their secondary structure includes four short double-helical elements and three loops (D, anti-codon, and T loops). The record is from RNAcentral. Lineage: Bacteria; Candidatus Peregrinibacteriota; Candidatus Peribacteria.